GUGUGUUCUAAGUUCCAUGCACCAAGACGUGACGAUCGGUGACGGCAGAAAGAGGAAACCCAACACGAUAACAGACUAUAACCACAUGAAGUGUGGUGUAGACGUGUUGGACCAAAUGGCACGGAUGUAUUCCGUAAGAGCAGCAACACGCAGGUGGCCAGUAGCGGUUUUCUACAAUAUGCUGGACCUGGCGGCAGUGAAUGCCUACAUUUUGUACAAGGCAUGUACAGGGUGGACAGGCAAAAGAA
Oreochromis niloticus (Nile tilapia) is the source of this 248-nucleotide long non-coding RNA. RefSeq lists it as uncharacterized. Lineage: Eukaryota; Metazoa; Chordata; Actinopteri; Cichliformes; Cichlidae. The transcript is spliced from 2 exons. The record is from RefSeq and is a predicted model, not a curated record.